UUCGCAAUGCCCGAAAGGGUGAACGAGCGACGCCGCGUGGAGGACGAAGGCCUUCGGGUUGUAAACUCCUGUCGAGGGGGAGGAAGGGGCAACCUUGACCGAUCCCUGGAGGAAGCACGGGCUAAGUUCGUGCCAGCAGCCGCGGUAAGACGAACCGUGCGAACGUUAUUCGGAAUCACUGGGCUUAAAGCGCGUGUAGGCGGAUGGGAACGUCGGUUUUUGAAAGCCCCCGGCUCAACCGGGGAAGUGGAGCCGAAACGACCGAUCUGGAGGGACGUAGGGGGACCUGGAACUUCCGGUGGAGCGGUGAAAUGCGUUGAGAUCGGAAGGAACGCCCGUGGCGAAAGCGAGGUCCUGGACGUCUGCUGACGCUGAGACGCGAAAGCUAGGGGAGCAAACGGGGUUAGAUACCCCGGUAGUCCUGGCCGUAAACGUUGGGCACUAAGUAGAGGGGUUUUU
RNAcentral lists this ribosomal RNA (459 nucleotides) under uncultured bacterium. RNAcentral describes it as "bacterial SSU rRNA". It matches the Rfam family "Bacterial small subunit ribosomal RNA", at positions 364 to 833 of the family's 1533-position model. The record is from RNAcentral.